Molecule: long non-coding RNA, 209 nt
Organism: Perca fluviatilis (European perch)
Lineage: Eukaryota; Metazoa; Chordata; Actinopteri; Perciformes; Percidae
Exons: 2
Source: RefSeq, a predicted model, not a curated record
UUCUGCUGUGUUUCAGGACCAAGACUCCCGGUCCAGGAGCUCAGUCUGCUCUCAGAGCUCUGGCUCGGUCUGGGAUGAAGAUCGGACGCAUCGAGGACGUGACUCCGAUCCCGUCAGACUCCACCAGGAGGAAGGGUGGUCGCCGUGGUCGCCGUCUGUAACCUGACCCCCCCACGUCUCCAUGACAACAAUAAAAACGUUAAAGUCCA